UCCGCCCACACGAAUCCUCUCUCAGACCGGAAGUCGCUCCCGGCGUUCGGUUGGCCACCCUGAACGCCCGGCUCCCGCUCCGUGUUGCCGCGGCAUCCCGUGGCCAGGACACCCAGUUCUCCACCGCGCGUGCCCUGCUCAGAGCGCCGCGGUAACGUCAGUGCUGUGGGAACCUCACAAUCCUGCAGUGCUAGUGGCAGCGCUGCAGCUGUGAAACCGUCUGCUCACAGCCACAGAGCUCGUCUCGCUAAACCCCACGGCCACGGUUGUGCUAAAUGUGUUGCACUGGAAGAGCAACUAAAAAUAAAGGAGGAGGAAAUCCAGAGACUGAAAGAAGG
Solea solea (common sole) is the source of this 338-nucleotide long non-coding RNA. RefSeq lists it as uncharacterized. The transcript has 3 exons. The record is from RefSeq and is a predicted model, not a curated record. Lineage: Eukaryota; Metazoa; Chordata; Actinopteri; Pleuronectiformes; Soleidae.